Non-coding RNA from Arachis ipaensis, 407 nucleotides. The record is from RefSeq and is a predicted model, not a curated record. Lineage: Eukaryota; Viridiplantae; Streptophyta; Magnoliopsida; Fabales; Fabaceae.
AUGAUUAAUUGUUGAUAGAUUUAUUUUUUCUUGUCUCUGUUUCCAGAAAAUCAUUUCGCUAUCCUUUUUCUCUCAACCUGAUGGCCCAGUGAUUAGAAACGGCUCCUUUAAAUCGUCAUUCUUAUUUCCAGGUAUAAAAGAAGGAUUUUAUCUGGUCCACCACCGAAAGAUAAGCUUCCCAAGGUAUAUUCUCCUUUGUUAACCUUUUGGAUAUUGCCAGUGAUAAUAUAUAAUCCUAUUUGUAAUAUUUGUGCAGAAUUCUACACAAGGUUCUGUAUUGUUAGGAGCAAUUUUGUAUGGAAAAUUGUCAUUUUCUGAGGGAGAGAAUAAAAAUCCAGAAAAGCACCCUGCAUCAUAUCAACUAAUAAUACACAAGGUUCUGUAUUGUUAGUGAUUAAAUGUUUUUU